Molecule: ribosomal RNA, 301 nt
Filed under: uncultured bacterium
Lineage: Bacteria
Description: partial 16S ribosomal RNA
Rfam family: Bacterial small subunit ribosomal RNA
Source: RNAcentral
CAGUAGCCGCGGGAAUACGGAGGGAGCUAGCGUUGUUCGGAAUUACUGGGCGUAAAGCGCGCGUAGGCGGUUACUCAAGUCAGAGGUGAAAGCCCGGGGCUCAACCCCGGAACUGCCUUUGAAACUAGGUGACUAGAAUCUUGGAGAGGUCAGUGGAAUUCCGAGUGUAGAGGUGAAAUUCGUAGAUAUUCGGAAGAACACCAGUGGCGAAGGCGACUGACUGGACAAGUAUUGACGCUGAGGUGCGAAAGCGUGGGGAACAAACAGGAUUAGAUACCCCAGUAGUCCCUGUCUCUUAUAC